Molecule: small RNA, 583 nt
Filed under: Pongo abelii (Sumatran orangutan)
Lineage: Eukaryota; Metazoa; Chordata; Mammalia; Primates; Hominidae
Description: processed transcript
Source: RNAcentral
CUCGGCCUCCCAAAGUGCUGGGAUUACAGGCGUGAGCCAUUGUGGCAAGCCUAUCUUUUUAUUCUUUGUUGCUGAAUCUUCUUGAGAUUACAUUAGCUUCUUGGCGUUAAUUCUGUUAUCCUAUUCACAGGGUGGUAAUGAUAAAUACAUCUGUUAAAGAACUUAAAGGGUGCAUUUGUUUAUCUUUCAUGUUGAAUGACAUCAAGUAAACGUCUCCUACAAAGAUAAAACUUUUUUAGGUUUUUUCUGAAGGAAGUAGCUGUUGCGAAGCAAACGUAGUGAAUUUCUGAUAGAAUUCUGUGCUUUUUAAUACUUAUAAACGCUCCUUGCAAGCAUCUUCCCUGCUUACAGAUCAAUGUCUUUUUUCUUCAAGGGACAUGGCUUGCAGUGUGGCAGGCAUAACUUCUGAUGCUAAUGUUCUGACUAAUGAACUAAGGCUCAUUGCUCAAAGUAUUUAUUACAGUAUCAGGAGCCAAUACCUUGUGAGCAGUUGGUUACAGCACUGUGUGAUAUCAAACAAGCUUAUACACAAUUUGGAGGAAAACGUCCCUUUGGUGUUUCAUUGCUGUACAUUGGCUGGGAU